Molecule: long non-coding RNA, 532 nt
Filed under: Gossypium raimondii (Peruvian cotton)
Lineage: Eukaryota; Viridiplantae; Streptophyta; Magnoliopsida; Malvales; Malvaceae
Description: long non-coding RNA (GRAI_LNC010599)
Source: RNAcentral
UUUUACCCUCCCCCGAUCCCCUUUGUUUCUCUUCUGUUCCUUCUAGCUUCAUCCGAUUUGCUUCCUUGUUUCUUUGCUUUCCAUUUCUGCCGAUUUACCCUCCCAGUUUCUUUUCAUCCGAUUUUCUUUUCUUUUCUUUUCUUUUCUGCCAAUUUGCUCCCCUCGUUUCUUUUCUUUUCUUUUUCGGCCGAUUUGCUCAGUUUCUAUCAAUUUGCGUCAUCAGUUAGUUUUCCUAACCUGAUAGAAUAAUAUCCGUUUCUCAAGUUUGAUUGCUAUUUUUGCUUGUAGCAUUUUUUAUUUUUUAUUUUUUUUAGUUCUGACCUUUUCUUUAGAUAAAAUUGCUUUUGUGUUUGAUACGUGUGAUUUUUUUUUGUUAAUUAGCUUGGAGAAGAGCUUGGAGAUAUUUAUGAUAUAGAAUUGCUUCGUGUUAUCCUCCAAGGUUUGUCUUGCUACAGACCUGCUUCUUUUUCUGAGUUCAUUUGGUUUGAUGUUGAGCAAUUAGACUAUGUAUUCCCCUCAUUCUAGAUUCCAU